RNAcentral lists this ribosomal RNA (253 nucleotides) under uncultured microorganism. Its description in RNAcentral is "partial small subunit ribosomal RNA". It matches the Rfam family "Bacterial small subunit ribosomal RNA", at positions 524 to 776 of the family's 1533-position model. The record is from RNAcentral.
UAUGUAGGUGGCAAGCGUUGUCCGGAAUUAUUGGGCGUAAAGGGCGUGUAGGCGGGAUAAUAAGUCCGUUGUAAAAGUGCGGGGCUCAACCCCGUAAGGUCAAUGGAAACUGUUAUUCUUGAGUGCAGGAGAGGAAAGUGGAAUUCCCAGUGUAGCGGUGAAAUGCGUAGAUAUUGGGAGGAACACCAGUGGCGAAGGCGACUUUCUGGACUGUGUCUGACGCUGAGGCGCGAAAGCCAGGGGAGCGAACGGG